GAAGCCUGCCAGACAAUCGCUGCUCAUGCAUGCAUGAGGGGAGGAAAGUCCGGGCUCCACAGGGCAGGGUGCCAGGUAACGCCUGGGCGGCGCAAGCCGACGACUAGUGCAACAGAGAGUAUACCGCCGAUGGCCGCUUGCGGCACAGGUAAGGGUGAAAGGGUGCGGUAAGAGCGCACCGCGUGGCUGGUAACAGGCACGGCGAUGGUAAACCCCACUCGGAGCAAGACCAAAUAGGAAUCCAAUGGCGUGGCCCGCGCUGGAUUCGGGUAGGUCGCUAGAGGUGCGCGGUGACGUGUACCCAAGAGGAAUGAUCACCCUCGACAGAACCCGGCUUACAGGCU
RNAcentral lists this RNase P RNA (344 nucleotides) under Idiomarina sp. Its description in RNAcentral is "partial RNase P RNA component class A". It matches the Rfam family "Bacterial RNase P class A". Rfam says of the family: Ribonuclease P (RNase P) is a ubiquitous endoribonuclease, found in archaea, bacteria and eukarya as well as chloroplasts and mitochondria. Its best characterised activity is the generation of mature 5'-ends of tRNAs by cleaving the 5'-leader elements of precursor-tRNAs. The record is from RNAcentral. Lineage: Bacteria; Pseudomonadati; Pseudomonadota; Gammaproteobacteria; Alteromonadales; Idiomarinaceae.